RNAcentral lists this ribosomal RNA (406 nucleotides) under uncultured bacterium. RNAcentral describes it as "partial 16S ribosomal RNA". It matches the Rfam family "Bacterial small subunit ribosomal RNA", at positions 30 to 526 of the family's 1533-position model. The record is from RNAcentral.
AUUGAACGCUGGCGGCAGGCCUAACACAUGCAAGUCGAACGAGUGGCGGACGGGAGAGUAAUGUCUGUGACACUGCCUGAGGGAGGGGGAUAACUACUGGAAACGGUAGCUAAUACCGCAUACCAUCGGAUGUGCCCGAAUGGGAUUAGGUAGUUGGUGGGGUAAAGGUACACCAAGGCGACGAUCCCUAGCUGGGCUGAGAGGAUGACCAGCCACACUGGAACUGAGACACGGUCCAGACUCCUACGGGAGGCAGCAGUGGGGAAUAUUGCACAAUGGGCGAAAGCCUGAUGCAGCCAGGCCGCGUGUAUGAAGAAGGCCUUCGGGUUGUAAAGUACUUUAAGCGGGGAGGCGUUACCCGCAGAAUAAGCACCGGCUAACUCCGUGCCAGCAGCCGCGGUAAUAC